Hypanus sabinus (Atlantic stingray) is the source of this 1152-nucleotide long non-coding RNA. RefSeq lists it as uncharacterized. The record is from RefSeq and is a predicted model, not a curated record. Lineage: Eukaryota; Metazoa; Chordata; Chondrichthyes; Myliobatiformes; Dasyatidae. The transcript has 5 exons.
GUCCUUGAAAGUGAACAUGAAAGAGAAGUUCGUUACCAACGCUGACAAAUCAUUGUAGCCAUUCCUCCCAGCAACCAGAGCAAAGAAGGUUCCUGCUCCAGUGGCUGUCCUCACCCAUGGAGAAGGCUUCGGGAGUAACUUGAGGAAAAAUCUGGAGUCCCUUAGGCAUUUCUAAGCUGAGUUCAAUGCUGACUGGCAACUCCUGCGAUGCCACUGGUGCCAAACUGCAUCGGCCUCUACCAUUCCUUUGGAUUCAUCAGUUGCGAGGAGAGGGGAAGCCUGCUAGAUGGGCAACAGCUGGGAUACAACAUCCAUGGUUGACCCUAACCAAUGGAGGACCUGUAGUCCACUGAACUGUUGGAACUUCUGGGACAUCAGGAGCUGAGCACUUCCAACCGCACUUCGUAUUUUCCCCAGAACUACAGUAAAGCAACGGGCAGAGCCUGAGGAUUGAAUCUAAUCACCUGAUGAGCAGCAUCAGACCAUAUAGCUGAUAGUCACUGAUUGCAGGAGUCCACCUACAGGGCGAAUGAUUGAGGCAUUUCCUGAUUGCAAGUUCCUUCCGUCACACCUUGUGUAUGUUGUGAUCUCAUCAACGUAAGUGAUGUAUGCUGCUGUUGCUGCGACGACGCAAGUGAGCUGGGCUUGAUUACACCUUUUGGUGCUGACUGUGUGGAGUUCACACCAUCUCCUGAUGAUCACAUGACUCUGAUAAAAGUAAGGACGGUCAGGACGGGAAAUAAUUUCUUCCAUAAGGCCAUUAGGCUUCUGAACUCCCUGCUGCAUCACAUUUGAAGUGUCUCCAGUUAAUCUGUUCUGUACCCUAAAAUAUUGAAUUUAUGCUCUUUAGUUUGUUUACUUAUGUGUAAUGCAUCUGUAAAUUUUAUCCUUACUUUCCUAAGUUAUUGUAUAUUAUAUGCAUGUUAUGUGUACGACAGACCCUGGUCUGGAGAAAUGCUAUACAGGCAGUCCCCGGCUUACGUUCGAGUUCUGUUCCUGAGUCCGUCUUUAAGUCGGAACAGGUACAUCCAGUAUUAUUUAGCAUCAGUUAGUCAAACGUUUGUCUUAGUAUUUAGUAUAUAUUUUACCUUUCUAUGCAUAUAAAACACUUAAGAAACGUAUGUAUUCUAAUAAUUAAACCACUGUGUUGCU